Molecule: long non-coding RNA, 7075 nt
Organism: Limulus polyphemus (Atlantic horseshoe crab)
Lineage: Eukaryota; Metazoa; Arthropoda; Merostomata; Xiphosura; Limulidae
Exons: 2
Source: RefSeq, a predicted model, not a curated record
UUAAAGAUUCAUUUAAGAGCUGUUCAUGCUUGGGAUAACUUUUAAGAAGAAGAAACAUUUAAUUAAGCUUUUAGGUCGAAAGUACACUUGUGAAAUAUGCUUUACCACUUUUACCUUGAGCUCCAACUUGUGUAGGCAUCGUCGAUAUCAACAUCGCAAACAAGAAGUAUUGAUAUGCACCAUCUGUGGGAAGACAUUCAAGAGAAGUGACAAGCUACGACAGCACAUGAGAACUGUCCAUGAGAGACUUCCUGAAAACACGAACAAAUGGAAACAUUCAUAAUAAAAUUUUGCUUUAUGAUUUAAUAGCUUUUUUUUAUACUUUUGAAACUAUUGAGCAUGAUUUAUGCUCAGAAAUUCUGUUAAACUUAUAACAUUUAUGAUUAAUUUCUACUAUCAAAAUGUGGUAUUAAAAUAUUUGUUGGGUAUUUGUGCUUAGCAAUAAAAGAUGUAAAAGAUAUCAUGGUGUGUCAGUUUUGUGUAUGCUGCUUGGCACAAGAAAAGGGAAAAUAAAUUCAUUACAGAAUUUGUAACAUACUUUCUUGUAUUUUAAACUUACAGAAGUUAAGUAACAAAAAGAUUGUUAUAAGGUUUGUGUAGCUGCUAAUUCUUGGAAUUUACAUGAACGAGCUAAAUACUGGGGGGGUUCCAUGAGCUAUCUUUCAUAGUAAUAUAAUUUUAUCUUAUUGAGUAAAAUCUCUAAUUAUUUAAUAGCACUGUUUUGAUAACUUUUUUAAUCAUCAAAUCUUUAAACAAGAAAAAAGAAGAUUGACUGUUUCUUUAGUGAUUUACUUUUGGAAAUAUUGAAUUAAAAACUGCUAUUGAAUAGAUAAAGUUAUAAAAUUCUUUGAGAACGUAUAAUUGAAUAUAACCAAAAAGAAUAUUUCAGUCAUUUCAGUUUACUUAUGUUACUUUAAAUUAAAUUUUCACAAAUAUAUUUAAAAAGCUAACCAUAACAGUUUUAUUAAUUAAUUCGUUUUCAAUUUGAUGAUAUAUCUUAAUCAUCAAAAACAAAAAGCUGGAUUUUGAUUUCAUUAUCUGAAUUGCAGAUACUACUGUUAUUAAAAGUUUUUUUACUAGAGUUUGGUAAAUCACAUAACAUAUAUCUUAAUUCUAGGUCAUUGCACGUACGACAUUAUUAUGAUUGAUUUAUAAGCUGUUUGUAACUUACUUGUUUAACAGUUGUGUUAACAUUUCUACACAAAAAUGCAUACUUCUAUAUGAAGAUUUAUAUUUUAAAAUUAGUGGAAUUAAUAUCAUAUUAGAGUUUUACAGUUAAUUAGUAUGAUCAAAUAAGUUUUUAUGUAUGAUUAUUUGUAAAUAGCAUGAAAUUCUAAGGGUAUAAAGUAUGACAUAUAUAUAUCUGAAAUAUUCUCCCACAUGUAUCGAAGGAUCUGUGAUAUUGUUUCAAUCCCAGUUAACAUUUUUAUUUUAUAGCAUUUCUUUGUUAGCAUUAUUAUAAUAUUCAAUUGGGUAUUAAAAUUUCCAAACAAAUAAAUGUUGUUGGUAGUAUGUGUAUCGAUUUUGGGCCUCAGCCAUUCUGUUGUGUUUGUGGGAAGUUUAUCAGUGGAUGAAAUAUGAUGCACCAUUUGAAAAGCCAUUAAUGAUCCUGUCUAUUCAGUGUGUGUAGUUUGUAGAAUAUAGGCUAUGAGGAAAUAUAACAUACUCUGAUAUCAGCACAACCUUUUUGAAGAACCUCACAAGGUGAAUUACAGUGCAGCUUUAUAGAAAUCUCCGAUAACCUAGUGUUGUUCUUGUUAGCAGUGAUUUAAUUGUUAGUUAUGGAACACAAUAACUUUUCAUACACAGUCUGUAUAAUAAAUCACUAAAAAUGUUGAUUAAUUUAAAGAAACAGAGUGUUUAACUAAUUUCACAUGUUAUUGUAAUGUGCUAAUAACGUGUGGUGAUUUUUUUUUUAAAAGAUUUUGUACCUUACCUUAAAUUUUAGCCAUUUAAACAAUAUUUUUUCAAAUUUUUUAGAAUUCUUGCACUUUUGAAUAAUGGAACAUCUUUCAGUAUGGCCUUUUACUACAACAGGUUACACUGAGCAUCAGAUUUUUUGUUUAUGUGUGAAAUUGAUUUAAACAAAUUAUGUUACUGUUUGUGUAAUUAAAAAAUUGUUUUAUAAUAAGUUGAAAAUUUAAAAUUUUGUUAAUUGUUACUUGUGGUAAGUUGAAAUGUUAAUCUGGUUCCUAGGUUACAUAAUCUGAUAAAAAGUUAGGCAUGUGAAUAAGCAUUCAUUAUGAGUUGUUUGGAAUUCUGAUUGCUAAUAUCAAAUAAUAACCCAGCUUAUGUGAAUUUAGAAUAUAAGAGAAGUAGAACCAUCCUAAUGAUAUUUUUCAUGAUUUACUUCUUGUACAUAUUUUCUUUUUUGUAAUCCUAGUUUUAUUAGAAAGUUGUUCUCUAUGAAAAUAUAUUACAUGCAGACAAAAUUUCACCAUUAAUAGUUUAUAUAUAUUUCAAAAUCUAAUAAUGUUUAUUAAUAUAUAUAAUAAUAAUAUUUUGUGCAGCACAUUUGUUUCCAUGCUGGUGAUUCUUUUAGGAUGAUUAAAUUUAAAGGAUUUCGAUAAUGGUGCAAGGGUAAAUAUAAACGAUUCACGUGAUAGUAAAUGUAAACCUUUUUUUGUUUUUCAUGUGAACUCUAUUAUCUAUGUGUCUUUUUUAUUUAUACAGGACAUGUUAGUUUUUAUAAUCAGGUAAAUAUUUUAAGUAAUUUAUUCAUCUAAAGACAAUAGUAGUUUCUUAUAAUUGAAUAAAAAUAAUUUUUCAGGCAAGAUUCUUGUAGGUUUUAAAAUGUUUGAUUAUAUCUAAUAUUUUCAUCACAGUAAUAAGUACAAAUUUAGUGUUGGAUGUAAGCAUGUUUGAUGAUUUUCAAAAAAUAUGUUACCAGAUAAAUUGCCUCAAUACAUUUUUUCUUUAUGAAAUUUUUAAUUUAUGUACUUAUCAGUAUAGCUUGUUUAGCAUGAAUGACUGUGCUGCCUGUUAUAAAUGACAGUUGUAUUACCUGAAAUCCUACUUACAAAUGCAAAUAAAUCAAGGUAAUGAGUAUCUUUUACUUAAUUAUGCUAUGUUACGACAAACCAGUUGAAUUUUCUAUCCUUGUCUUGGACAUAGGCAUUUCUUUAUAGCAAGUAUUAAUGAUGAAAUGCAUCAAGUUUUAAACAGUGAUUGUUUUGUUUAGAUCAUUGUAUUCUUUGCUAAAAGAUUUUAUAGCUUCUAACUGAAUUGGAUACUAAAUGACAAGAACUUGACUGUCUCUUAUUAGUCAAACAGCAUGCUUAUUAUGUCUGUUAAUGUCAUACAAGUACUGAAAGCAUAGUUGAUAAAGGCCUCAUUAUUAGUCUUUGGUAUUGUUACCUGUUCCAUGUAAUUUGGAGCAGAUUUAUUAAGUAUAUCUUACUUUAGAAUUUCUUUCUUUUCUCCAGUGUAUUUGAAUAAGAAACUGUUACAGGUUUUUGAAAUGUUUGUGUGAAUGUAGCAUAGUUUGUGUGUGUGUGUGUGUGAUCAGACUUGGUAAUUGUGUAUUACAUCAUUUAUUGCAAAGGUCCAUAAACAUAGGUCUGUUGUAAUUAAUCUAUAUGGUUAACUUAAAAAAUAUAGUUUUAAAUUGAAACAUUGUAACCUGUUUAAGAAAAUGCCUAAAUUGUUUUUAUGAAUUGGUAAUGAUAUACUUUUGUUAAAAAUCUGCUCCUUGGAAUUUGAAAAUACUUUAGUGGAAUAAAACAUUUUUCAUUAUCUACUUUCAUUAUAUAGUUUCAAGUAAAAAUAAAAAAACUUUGUUAGGAAUGGGUUUUAAUACUUUAGUUAAUUGCAUACCCCAGUUAAUUACACACGUGUAUCUUAAAAAAGGCUACAUGUGCCUAAGGUUCUAAACAAAAGAAGUAUAUUUUUUAUAAACUUGUCCAGGUAAGGAAAGCUUAUUUAACAAUGAAGAUUUGAGCAGCUCCUUCUCUUUGAGUUUCAGUGUUCUGCUGGCCACUGUUUUACCUAUCUAGCCAGUAAUCAAAAUGUUGAAUUUUCCUGAACUACACAGCAGUGUUGCUUUAGUUUUAAAUGUGAUAUAAUUUUGUCAUAACAGAAAAACAAAACUUUUUGUUUUCCCAGUGGACUUAUUUUUCAUAAUUUUGCCUUAUUAAUUUCUAAUUUCUCAGUAAAUUAUAGGUGAUAGUGUUAGAUGUAAUAUGACAAGCUACUAGUUUGUACUUACCAAUAAAGAAAGAUUUACAACAAAAAUGUGUGUUUUUCGUUGUUUUUUAGAUAAUUCUCUUUCUUGCCUUACUUUGAUUUACUAUGUACCUGAUAAAAUUCACAAGAAAGAAUUGUUGAAUUUCCAAGUACACAUCUCUUUUUGGUUGAAGUUAAAGGUUUUUUUUUAUUCGUGCUUCAUUGCUGGCAGUAAAUGCACUUUAUGUUAUGAUGUAAUUUUUACAAAUGUUUUUUAUAAUAAAACUUGUAAGUUCUGUUAUGUUUUUAUUUUGCAGAGCUUCAGCAACUUUUCUUUGAUCUUCAGGACAAACAUUCUGUUCAAUCUAAGCCAACAUGUCCAUACUGCAAAAUGUCCUUCUUUAACAAAAGCAGCCUAACACGACACAUGGAACGCCACAAGAAAAAGUCGUAUCGUGCACAUUAUAUGUGUGAUAUAUGCCAAAAGAAGUACACUCGAAAAGAUUAUGUUAAAGAACACAAAUUAAACAUUCAUGGAGUGUCUGUUUAAGCUUGUCUGAAAUGAAGAAAUAUUUCAAAAAGAUUUCAAGUUGGUGUUAAUUAUUUCGUGUUUUUGUAAUACACACUUACUGAUUCAUACAUGUCAGCAUUUGUGUUAUUUUGAAGACAUGCAUAUUUUUACAACUACGUAUGUAAGAAAAAGAUUUUAAAAUUUUGAAAAGUGAAAAUAAUUGAUUUUAGCAUAAAGACCCAGACUAUUCUCUCAAAGUUUUCUGUACUAAAAAUUGUAGAAAAGUUUAUUAUUUAACUGUACAUGUAUGUUGAUAUUGCAAAGAUUAAUAUCUCUUGUAUUUCCCACUUCUUGCAGAACCCAGCUAAGGUGACUGUUGGAGUGUGUAUAUGUGGAAUAACAAAAUUGUCAUAUAGGAUUAUGUUUUUUGUUGUUGUUUCUUUGAAAAAGCUUGUAGUAUAUUUCUUACAAAUCUCCUGUGAUUAAUUUUUACAAAGUAUUUUUUUUUGUAAGAAAAUUAAUAAAAUUGCUUGUAAUUAUAUAGAUCCCACCUUGGUAGAUAAGGGUUAUGUUGUAUAGUAUCACAAUUUUAUUUUUCAUGGACUGUUAUUUACAAACAACCUAAACGACUACAAAAAACGACUAGAAAUCUUAAAUUAAUACAGAAACGAAUUCCACACAUUAUCCACUUUUGUCUGGUAUCUACUGGGACAAAAGUACCUAAGUGGUGCCUUACUGUAUAAAUGAUAAGAUAUUGGUUGUGUUUUAGCACUAACUUUUAGUGAUUGUGCUCUGUAGAUUAAUAUUGUCUAUUUUCUUAUGUUGUCAAUGGCCAUUUAGGUAGUUCUAUGAAUUAUGUUUAUUUUGUAUUGGGUAGAAUGUUUAAAUGGUCCUCAUACAGUAGCUUCAUUUAUACCAUCAAAAAUAGUCUAUAUAUAUAUAUGAAUCAUACAUAAUUUAUUCAUUAAAAAACUUUUUGUGAAUUAGACCAUAUAACUGUUCUUGAUGUUUACUGAAUACAUUGCCUUAAGUACGGUUCUUUGUUUCAAAUUAUCAAGCAUUAUACAGAUAUUACUUCUUUUAUUAUAAGAACUCGUUCCUCAGUCAAAAAACAUCAUCCAUGAGGAAGAAUAUAGUCUUCUCAACUAGCUGAUGUUACUAUGAAGGGUACUGAUUUUAACUGAAAAUGUAACAAAUCCAACAGUAUCAUAAGAAUUAACAGUAUUUUAUCCAAACUAUUAAAAACCAAUAUGCUAAGAGAUUUGUAUACUAGACAACACAAGAAAUUAAUUAUGUAACUUUAGGAAGUCAAACUUGUGCUUUCUCUCUCUGUUAACACAAGUUUAGAUAUUAUAACUUUCUUGAUGGGGUAUGCUGCAGCAAUUAAAUCAUCAGCAUUAAUGCUGAGGUCAUUAAGGUGCUUUAAAGCCUUGUUACAUGUGUGUGAAACUGUUAAACAUUGUACUUGAUGAAAAUGCAACUUAAGACUGGAUAUACUUACUAUAGAAAUGUAUUAUUCUACUAAUAUUUUUCGUUUUUAGUAUUUACUGUUUGUUUGAAUAAAUCUGUGGGAUUCAUUUCUAUGUUCUUUUGAUUUUAUCAUACCUUGAUCAAAGUAUUGCUUUUAUGGUGUUUAAUUUUUGACAGUUAUUCCUGCAUCACACUUGCUUUGCAUUUAGUUUACAUGAAAUUUAUACAUUCUUAGACUUUGAUUUGUAUAAGGAAUACAGAAUAAAAAACAUUAUUUGUAUGAAAAUUAUUCUUGUAAUUAUGACCUGUUGUUUCUUAAGACUGGUGGCAUGAACAGGCUUUCUUAUGUACUUAAUAGUCAUUGCUUUGUAAUUGUGCUUUCUCACAUUCUGUGAGUCUUCAUUUCCUGAAGUAAUAUAUCAAGUUUGCUUAAGAGUCUUAAUUUUAUUAAAUUGGGUAGUUAUUUUCAAUGAAUUACGUACAUUUCAUCAUAAUUAAGAACCAAAUUAUUACCAACUUAAAUAGUCCAUAUUUAUUUAUUUAUUGUUAGAUAUUUUUCUGGAAGAAACUAUUCUUGAAGAACCAAGACAAAAGAAAUCAAAAGAUAACCGGUGUGAAUAUUGCUCAAGAGAUUUCUACGAUCGUUCAACAUAUCUUCGUCAUAUGAAGAGACACAGAAUUUAUAGAGAAUCAUUUACGUGUCAAAUAUGUCAAAGAAACUUUACACGGCCAGACAAUCUUAUGGUUCAUAGAAGAAAAAUUCACUUUCUGGAAAAAUAAAUUUCACUAUACUAAAAAUAAUUCAAAUAAUCAGUAGAGUAUGUACAUUUUUUGUCUUGUGUUCAAUUUUUAAUUGACAUGAGUUGUUAAAAACUUGCAUAUAGCAGAGUACCUCAAUAUACUAAGAAAUCAAUAAAGAAUGUAUUUAGA